Molecule: ribosomal RNA, 480 nt
Filed under: Escherichia coli 96.0428
Lineage: Bacteria; Pseudomonadati; Pseudomonadota; Gammaproteobacteria; Enterobacterales; Enterobacteriaceae
Also listed under: 1 other name
Description: bacterial LSU rRNA
Rfam family: Bacterial large subunit ribosomal RNA
Source: RNAcentral
UUAAGCGACUAAGCGUACACGGUGGAUGCCCUGGCAGUCAGAGGCGAUGAAGGACGUGCUAAUCUGCGAUAAGCGUCGGUAAGGUGAUAUGAACCGUUAUAACCGGCGAUUUCCGAAUGGGGAAACCCAGUGUGAUUCGUCACACUAUCAUUAACUGAAUCCAUAGGUUAAUGAGGCGAACCGGGGGAACUGAAACAUCUAAGUACCCCGAGGAAAAGAAAUCAACCGAGAUUCCCCCAGUAGCGGCGAGCGAACGGGGAGGAGCCCAGAGCCUGAAUCAGUGUGUGUGUUAGUGGAAGCGUCUGGAAAGGCGCGCGAUACAGGGUGACAGCCCCGUACACAAAAAUGCACAUGCUGUGAGCUCGAUGAGUAGGGCGGGACACGUGGUAUCCUGUCUGAAUAUGGGGGGACCAUCCUCCAAGGCUAAAUACUCCUGACUGACCGAUAGUGAACCAGUACCGUGAGGGAAAGGCGAAAAGA